This is a small nucleolar RNA of Trichomycterus rosablanca, 326 nucleotides long. NCBI's taxonomy places the organism in Eukaryota, Metazoa, Chordata, Actinopteri, Siluriformes, Trichomycteridae. The record is from RefSeq and is a predicted model, not a curated record.
GCCCAGUGAUGAGUCUAAGGCAACUCUGAGCUGAAUGGCUGAGGAAUCGUGUUCUGUAGCUUUCUGACUGGUGGGUAAUCUUGGCUGAGUAGUGGAGAUUGGCUGCUUUGCUGUAAGGGCCCACCUACAGUACAUUAGCAACCAAUCCUUAUAAUCCCUUUCCCCAAAGAUAUGGGUCCAGGAACAUGAUUGGUAGCUUACAUUUACUUUUCUUCUCUCUGUCCUUUCAUUUUCUCUGUUUCUCUCUGUACCUCUCGGUCAGAAAGCGAGUUCACAUUUCUCUGCGUCAGACAGCUUUGACCAUGUUCUUUGGUAAUCUGAGGGCA